AGCAGCCGCGGUAAUUCCAGCUCCAAUAGCGUAUAUUAAAGUUGUUGCAGUUAAAAAGCUCGUAGUUGAAUUUCGGGAUCAAUAUGUUGGUCGUGCCUUGGUACGUACUGGCAUUAUCGAUUCCUACCUUCUGAAGAACCUCGAUGUCAUUAAUUUGGUGUCUUGGGGAAUCAGGACUGUUACUUUGAAAAAAUUAGAGUGUUUAAAGCAGGCUCGCGCUUGAAUACAUUAGCAUGGAAUAAUGAAAUAGGACGUUUGAUUCUAUUUUGUUGGUUUCUAGGAUCGACGUAAUGAUUAAUAGGGAUAGUUGGGGGCAUUAGUAUUCAAUUGUCAGAGGUGAAAUUCUUGGAUUUAUUGAAGACUAACUACUGCGAAAGCAUUUGCCAAGGAUGUUUUCAUUAAUCAAGAACGAAAGUUAGGGGAUCGAAGACGAUCAGAUACCGUCGUAGUCUUAACCAUAAACUAUGCCGACUAGGGAUCGGAUGAUGUUAAUUUUUUAAUGACUCAUUCGGCGCCUUAC
This 520-nucleotide non-coding RNA is filed under the name uncultured Glomus. RNAcentral's name for it is "SSU rRNA". It matches the Rfam family "Eukaryotic small subunit ribosomal RNA", at positions 569 to 1091 of the family's 1831-position model. Lineage: Eukaryota; Fungi; Glomeromycota; Glomeromycetes; Glomerales; Glomeraceae. RNAcentral also lists the same sequence under 4 other names. The record is from RNAcentral.